AUGGAGCAAGAUGCCAGUAAUCAGCUUACUAGGAAUACCACUCCUGCUCCCAGUGGAUCUAAGUCCAGAGUCAACUAUCUCCUUCCUUGUACUCCUGUUGGGCGAUCCCCCCUGGGCUCUUCUGCUCUGUCUAACUGCCAGGUGGCUCCUAUCACCAAAAGCUAUGUAGAUGCUGUCGAGAAAACCAACUUAGUGGACUGUGGCAACAGUUUGUUGGUGCAGUUCGAUUCUGUGGUUAAUGGCACUACCAGCAUUGGUUUCAACCCCCUGGCGCCAUCUGCUACUACCCUCUCUUGCCCAGCUCCCCAGCCUCUGGCCAAUAGGCCUGACAAAGGGAAGUGGGGCCCUAUGGUUGCCACUAGGAUGAGCAACAGGAUAAAGAGAGAUGGUAAAAAUGCUAUAGCUAAGGCUCAAGAUAUUAAAAAAGUGCAAAACCUGGAAGUUCCCAAAGGUAGAACUGCAGCCUUUUCUGUUAAUUCCUUUGCUUGCUUAGAUAAUGAUCUGCUCUUACAUAAUGCUAAUUUGUCUGGUUUAAGACUUGGGAAUGAUCCUAGUAGUUGUAAUAAUAAUAUUGACUUCAUUAAAAAAAUUGAACUUGAGAGGUUGUCUAAUUUCCAUAAAGAUAACCCUGAUAUGUUUCUUCCUCCUGGCACUGAUGCUGAUAGGGAGGUUUCUUUAAGUAAUAUUAUUGACACUGAGAAGCAUCCUUCCCCUAGCACUGAAAAUAAAUCAGACAGGGAAGAGGGUGAACUCCCUUGGUUGGAAGUAUCCCACCAAAGGAACAAAGAAGUUUCAUCUAGAAGUAGAUCUAAUAAUAAUAAUCAUUUCCUAUGA
Molecule: ribosomal RNA, 834 nt
Filed under: Triticum aestivum (bread wheat)
Lineage: Eukaryota; Viridiplantae; Streptophyta; Magnoliopsida; Poales; Poaceae
Description: partial small subunit ribosomal RNA
Source: RNAcentral